Long non-coding RNA from Notolabrus celidotus (New Zealand spotty), 584 nucleotides. RefSeq lists it as uncharacterized. The record is from RefSeq and is a predicted model, not a curated record. The transcript has 6 exons. NCBI's taxonomy places the organism in Eukaryota, Metazoa, Chordata, Actinopteri, Labriformes, Labridae.
UUUUGGUUGUAAAUGUUGAACACAUGCACGGCAUGGCGACGUUGACUGCCGUUAUCAUAUCUCUUCAAGGGGUUUUGACAGGUUAUUAUAAUGCUUCGAAGAGUUAAGGUGGAUGAAAUGCAUGUGAAAUAUUUAUAAGGCUCUAAUUUGUGCUGUUAUUGUUUAAAGGACAUAGAGUAAGUGGUUGAGAACUACAAAAAGGGUGGGUUAUAAGCUCUUGCUGCAGUGGCCUUCAAGAAGUUUCCACAGAGCAACAGAGGGGGCCUUCUCUGCAGGAGGAGAGACAGUAACAAGGUGUGACGUGAGUUACCUCCUUGAAGUCUCCUUGGUCGAUGUACUCUUCCCCCUGAUGAGACAAAGAUGUCGGUCCAUCCUUCAAAGAACUCAGCAGUGAACUGUUGUGCAAAGUUCUGGUCGAUGUACUCUGCCCCUGAUGAAAAGAAGAUGUCCUUCCAUCCUUCAAAGAACUCAGAAGUGAACUGUGGUGCAAAAUCUUGGUUUCCAGAUUUUAUCUUUCCCUGCCUCGGUGUUCAUCCUGUUCAAGAAGUUUCUCCAGAGCAACAGAGGGGGGCUUCUCUGCAGGU